CGUGAAGACAUCCGCACAUUAAAAGAAAAAGUGUGGGGGGAUGCAGGAAAUGCAUACUGUCUCAAAGAUUCCUGCCCAGUCCUCAACUGUUGAGGAACUUAACAUCCUUGAUAAAUCCCUCAACUGCUUGGAUGAGAAGCUGAGACUGGUAAGAUUAUACCUUUUCAUAUCUGUCAUGCCUUAGGACUGUCUGUGUGUGUUUUCUGUCUUUGUGCUCCCCAUGACUUAGUUCUCCCUCUUGUUCCCUUAUGCCCGUAUUUGGUUUUCCUUUUCCCGUUAAGUCCUCAUUUAGUUAAUUCAGUUCCACCGGUGUUUGAUUAAUAACCUCGUUUAGUUUGUUAUUUAAAACUUGUGUUUCCACUGUCCAGCGUCUGGUGUUAAAUGUCGAUGUUGUGUUUCUCUGCCUGUCUUGUGUUCAGUGUUGCCUAUUUAGCUACUUCUCAACCCCUUUUGAGAUUUUUUUUUUUUCUCAAAUGUUUAGGGACAAAUAUAGCAACUUCUUGAACAAACCUUAUUUAAGUUUUUAUCUUGCCCAUUAAUCUAUAUUCAUCUUUAUAAAGAUCAGUGAAUUUACCAUUAUGAUGUCAUCUAGUGACAUUUAGCUACCAGUUUUAGCUACUUUCAAUUGAAAGCAGUUGGCAACACUGCUUGUGUUACUCCAUUUGAGAAGAUUAAAGACUGUUUCUUUGAGUUUUACCCUCGUCUCCUUGUUCCUCGUUUUGCCACAGAAGGAAACCAUGACAAUAUCUGCAUACCGUAAUUUUUAUAAUGUGAUGUGUUGAGACAUACAGUACUGAACACUGUUAACCUUUUUUGUGGUUAAACUAAAAUACUUUACCUAUGAUUUCAGAUUGAUAGCUUGUCCAGUGUUGGAGGGAUGCACCUGAAGGACAAUGUCAAGAGGGUCAUGGAGAAGUUGAUGACAAACGAGGUCAUGGCCCGUUUCAAUAUGAAGGGGGGGAAGGGGAAGCUUGCUUUCACCAAGCUCAAUCUGUACACUGUUGUCACAGAGAGUGUCCAGAAAACAUCUAAAGAGACGGAGGCAAACAUUGCAGCGGCCAUCGCCUUUUGUUUAAAAUAUGCCCCAGACAGGGCGGGUGGAGGUGGCAGGAAAAAAAGCUGUGAAUAAAACUGAUGUUAAUAUGUUUUGAAAAAUAUUCAGUUCCAAUAAGGUUGGUGUUAAAAUUAAAUUAUUUUGAAAAUGUUCUGUUCCAAUAAUGUUAAUAAUAAAACAAAUAAAUAAAUCAUAUUUGUUAUAAUCCAGUUCAUCUCUUUGUCAUUUUUCUGAUAAAACCACCAAACAUUUGUAAAUUCCAUUUUCAAAUUAAGUUAAACUAUUCUCUUUGCUAAUGUCUUAAAAUUUAAUAAUUUGGUGUAGUCUCACAUUGGAUCUUGAUCUCUCUCUGAUCUUAUUGUUAGAGGUUCUUGGUAUGGUUUUUUUUUGUUGUUUUUUUUUUUUCUCUCUGAAUGUAUAUCUUUCUUUAAAGUUGGAAUUUGACAGCUUGACAAUUUGUUGUUGGUUUUUGACAGAUACCGAUUUUGAUUUUAUUUUCCAUCAAAGCGCAAUCUCUCCGAUGUAGGAGAUUGAUGUUAGUCUGACGUUGGGUUCUGACAUCAACCCGAUUAAAAUUUUCAACCAAAAUGCAACAUAUGUUGGACGUAGCAGAUUGACGUCAGUCUGACGUUUGGUUAUGACGUCAACCAGAUUUUCAUUUUCAACCAAAAUGCAACGUCUUACCAACGUUGGAGAUUGACGUCAGUCUGACGUUUGGUUAUGACGUCAACCAGAUUUUCAUUUUCAACCAAAAUGCAACGUCUUACCAACGUUGGAGAUUGAUGUCAGUAUGACGUUUGGUUAUGACGUCAACCAGAUUUUCAUAUUCAACCAAAAUGCAACGUCUUACCAACGUUGGAGAUUGACGUCAGUCUGACGUUUGGUUAUGACGUCAACCAGAUUUUCAUUUUCAACCAAAAUGCAACGUCUUACCAACGUUGGAGAUUGACGUCAGUCUGACGUUGGGUUAUGAGCGUCAACCAGAUUUUCAUUUUCAACAAAAAUGCAACGUCUUACCAACGUUGGAGAUUGACGUCAAUCUGACGUUUGGUUAUGACGUCAACCAGAUUUUCAUUUUCAACCAAAAUGCAACGUCUUACCAACGUUGGAGAUUGACGUCAGUCUGACGUUUGGUUAUGACGUCAACCAGAUUUUCAUUUUCAACCAAAAUGCAACGUCUUACCAACGUUGGAGAUUGACGUCAGUCUGACGUUUGGUUAUGACGUCAACCAGAUUUUCAUUUUCAACCAAAAUGCAACGUCUUACCAACGUUGGAGAUUGACGUCAGUAUGACGUUUGGUUAUGACGUCAACCAGAUUUUCAUAUUCAACCAAAAUGCAAGUCUUACCAACGUUGGAGAUUGACGUCAGUCUGACGUUUGGUUAUGACGUCAACCAGAUUUUCAUUUUCAACCAAAAUGCAACGUCUUACCAACGUUGGAGAUUGACGUCAGUCUGACGUUUGGUUAUGACGUCAACCAGAUUUUCAUAUUCAACCAAAAUGCAACGUCUUACCAACGUUGGAGAUUGACGUCAGUCUGACGUUUGGUUAUGACGUCAACCAGAUUUUCAUAUUCAGCAAAAAUGCAACGUCUUACCAACGUUGGAGAUUGACGUCAGUCUGACGUUUGGUUAUGACGUCAACUAGAUUUUCAUUUUCAACCAAAAUGCAACGUCUUACCAACGUUGGAGAUUGACGUCAGUAUGACGCUGGGUUCUGACGUCUACCGGAUUUCCAAUUUCAACCAAAAUGCAACGUCUGAUCAACGUUGGAGAUGGACGUCAGACUGACAUUUGGUUAUGACGUCAACCAGAUUUUCAUUUUCAACCAAAAUGCAACGUCUUUCUGACGUAGUGGUCCAACGUCAAUCUGACGUUAUAUUGACGUCCGGUGCCUGCUGGGAUAGUACAAUCAAUUUCAAUCAAACUGAAUGAUUGAUCCAUUCAAAUGUCAGUCAGAUGCUGCCUUUCUCUCUAAUUGAGCAGUUCUUGGCCCAAAGAAAAUGCAAUCUAAACCAGAUUUAUGCCGUUGGUCAAAAGUCUGGCAACACAAGACAAGACGCAAGAGACACCUGUAAACUGCAUUGGAG
Molecule: long non-coding RNA, 3143 nt
Organism: Cyprinus carpio carpio
Lineage: Eukaryota; Metazoa; Chordata; Actinopteri; Cypriniformes; Cyprinidae
Source: Ensembl